CCUGCUCCUAGAAACACUGCAGGUGUGGCUGCCUGCUAUGUCACAUGUACAUCAGUAGGUGGCAGAGAGGAGAGACGCUACAUCUAUGUUGAGUGUUCUGAUUUGUGAAUAGAUGAAUGUUUAGUAGCCUAAGACU
Molecule: small nucleolar RNA, 136 nt
Filed under: Mus caroli (Ryukyu mouse)
Lineage: Eukaryota; Metazoa; Chordata; Mammalia; Rodentia; Muridae
Description: snoRNA (MGP_CAROLIEiJ_G0036533.1)
Rfam family: Small nucleolar RNA SNORA17
About the family: snoRNA ACA 17 belongs to the H/ACA family of snoRNAs and is predicted to guide pseudouridylation of the 28S rRNA at positions U4659 and U4598.
Source: RNAcentral